RNAcentral lists this long non-coding RNA (1315 nucleotides) under Bemisia tabaci. RNAcentral's name for it is "lncRNA ENSSSA1UGG003359". The record is from RNAcentral. Lineage: Eukaryota; Metazoa; Arthropoda; Insecta; Hemiptera; Aleyrodidae.
AUGAUGUAUGGUGAUCACUGCUUCGGUGGAGCGCGAGUGAAGUUUGCGUUUGUGUUCCUGAUCCUGCUUUUGUACUUGAAACAUGCAUCGGGCGACGAAUCCCUCAUCCCGGACCAAAUCGCCGAGGAGGCGCGCGACUCCAGGCCGAGCGUCGUUGUUUGGCCAAGCACCCCCAACUCGAACGUAACUAUCGUCAGUGCUACCCGCGAUGUGGGGGCGAACUACACGCUGUCAGCGUCGCCCGCGGAGUUGGACCCGGUUCUUGUGGACGUCAACUCCACCGAGCUCCGGAGGGUGAACCGGAAACCGGACGAGCCGGAAACGGCGGAAUCGAAAAUACGCAAUGGAGUGUCCGCGCCGGAGAAGAGCAAAGCGGGGGAGUCGAAGAAGCGGCCGGAUGUGACCGGCACAGAGGGUGACCAUCGGAAAUCUAGCGCGGAGGAGGGUUCCGGACGGCUCCGGAACGAGUCAGGAACCGGGAAAUCGGAAAAGGGUGGAUCCGGACCGGAAGUGGCGGAAACGCGGAAGUCGGUUCGACGUCGGAAACCUGGCUCGGGUGCGGACGAGUCGGGGGAGGAUCCGGAAGGUCCGGCAGUGCCGGCGGAUGAGACGGAGCCCGCGAUCCGGAAGUUCAAGUCGGAGCACGAAGAUCCACCGGAGGUUCCGACGAAGGUGGAUUUCAACGGGAGCAUGGCUACCCCGGCGCCCGGAUCCGGGAUCAAGCUGGACUUCGUUCCUCGUCAGACUUACGUCCAGGUGCGACGCACGGAUAGCGUCAAGCGACUGCCCCAAAGCGCCGCCUACGCAGCUGCCAAAACACCCGAGGAACGGGACAACGCCGGCAGACUGAGGGAAGUCGUCUCUCAUAAGAAGUCUCAAGAGGUAUACGAGGAACAAGGCUACGAGGACUCAGCUUAUGAUCACGGAGGCUACAAGAAAAAGGGAGAGAUGCAAGAGGCAAAAGUUUCUCUUGACAAAGGGCAUCAUGGCACGAAUUCUAAAGUGAAUCGAAAAGGUAAAGACAAGAUUGAAGAGUCACCUGCUGCGUCAGUGCGGAAGCCCCAAUCAGAAGCACCACUUAACACCACUGCAGAAAAACUCAUUUUCUACCCGAAGGUAGAAGCUGCCAUCGAAUCUGCUAGCAACUAAAAAACCUCAGUCUCCAAGAAACCUCCGACCAGCAGCAAAAGAAGACCACAAGCUAGCCAUAGUCAUCCCGUUACGCACUACAAAAAGCAUGCAUAUACUCCACCCGAGUUUGAAGGUGCAGUCAUCGAGAAGUUUGUCGUCAUAAACGGGAAGCAAAUUCCAAUAU